AUUGAAUAUUUGACCUCAAAUCAGGUAGGACUA
RNAcentral lists this ribosomal RNA (33 nucleotides) under Macrolepiota aff. phaeodisca CM075. RNAcentral describes it as "partial 26S ribosomal RNA". The record is from RNAcentral. Lineage: Eukaryota; Fungi; Basidiomycota; Agaricomycetes; Agaricales; Agaricaceae.